GUAGGUGAACCUGCGGAAGGAUCAUUAUUGAAUAAAUCUGGCGUAGGUUGUAGCUGGCUCUCCGGAGCAUGUGCACACCUCGUCACCUUUAUCUUUCCACCUGUGCACACACUGUAGUCCUGGAUACCUCUCGCUGAAAGGCGGAUGCGGAGGCUGCUGUUGCCUUUAAAAUGGCUCAGCUUCCUCUGAAUUUCCAGGUCUAUGCCCUUUUAAAACACCCCAAACGAAUGUUACAGAAUGUAAUCAUCGGGCCUUUGUGCCUAUAAACCUAAUACAACUUUCAACAACGGAUCUCUUGGCUCUC
Molecule: unclassified non-coding RNA, 304 nt
Filed under: rhizosphere metagenome
Description: partial ribosomal RNA internal transcribed spacer region
Source: RNAcentral